AUAGGGGAUAAGAUGUCUAGAGGCGGAGUACCCCUUUAAGACAUGUGUCGGCCAAACCCUGACGAUUUAGGUGGAAAUGGCCGGCCAUCUAAUGUAUAUGAGAGUCUCUAAUCUUUACCUUGACAUCACCAGAUCAGCUUUAAUGGAGGACUCUGAUCACAACUGAUAAUCUGAGUUAUCUCAGUACGGUACAGAAUGACAGAGGGCACAGGAGAAAACCCUGUCCAUCAAAAAGAGGAAAUUAAAUCUACAGUCUAAAUCCUAUGUGUUCAUUUAAGGCUUCUCCUUAGAAGACGUCCCUGGAGGUAAUUUAUUGCUAUGUCCAGGACAGCAAUUUGUCUUGGUUCACCAGGCACUCAAAGUCAAACCCUUUAUUCAAGAUCUUUACAAGUUUUC
Hyla sarda is the source of this 396-nucleotide long non-coding RNA. RefSeq lists it as uncharacterized. The transcript is spliced from 3 exons. The record is from RefSeq and is a predicted model, not a curated record. Lineage: Eukaryota; Metazoa; Chordata; Amphibia; Anura; Hylidae.